RNAcentral lists this long non-coding RNA (3831 nucleotides) under Octopus vulgaris (common octopus). Lineage: Eukaryota; Metazoa; Mollusca; Cephalopoda; Octopoda; Octopodidae. The record is from RNAcentral.
GUGAUUUCCCCUCGUCUGUUAAUUGCUAAAUCUUUCCUAUUCUGUUUCCUUGUUUAAGAGAGAACCCAAUUGAAUAUACACACGUUUGAUAAUUAACUGUGUAAAGAAAUCCGUACAGUAUUCUUUAUUAAAUUCACCUGCAAAAUAUAAAUCAACGUUUGCAAUUAAAAAUCUAGAAAUUCUCUUGAAGCUGUCAUUGUCCACUCAGACUCCAGUCCUCACUGCUUCAUCAUAUUCUCACAUUUUCCUCGGUGACUCUCUCUAUAUAUAUACAUAUAUUUCUAUGUGAGUAUUAUAUUUACUUAAGCAUUUCUAUUGUAUAUGUGUCAUUUUACGUACAUUUGCUUAUUCUGACGUUAAAUUAAAAGAAUCUCACUAAACAAAGCCAAAAUUAUAUGAAAGUAAGGCUGACAUUCGAAUAAUUUUGUUUUAUUUUCUUUUAGACAUUCCGUUCCAGUUUUGGUUAUUUCUUACAUUGCUUUGUGUCAGUGCAAUACCUUGUUUACACAACAUUUUCCUUUAUUUUUGGCUUGUAAAUCUAAGAAUUUAUUUAAAUGCAGGGAAAUUACGAUGUAAUUACUGAAAAAUGGAGAAUAUAUAAAAAUUAGAUUGUGCAUUCGAAAUACUGAAACGAAAAGAGGAUGGUUCACUGAAGAAAUGGAACGGCAUUUGUGUGAAACAUUAAAAGAAAUGUCUUUAUUUUUGCUAGUUCUUCUCCGUCAUUACAAUUUACAACUUAUAUAUAUAUUUACAACUUAUAUAUAUAUGGGUACUACUAGCAAAGACUGGACCGGUGUGCGCUAGCUAGUCGUAAGUAGUCGAUCCUACAACGACUUGCGCGUAUGCAAAUGAGUUGAUUUUACAGAAUAAAAUAAAAGAAAUUUUUAAAGAAAAUAAAUAAAUUAUUUCUUUGAACAAUGGAUUUGAUUUUUUUUACACAAAUCAAAUAAAAUGUGUGUGAUAUAUUCUUUUACUAGUUUUUAGUUUUUGGACAGCAUCCAUGGUAGGUACAUCAUUCAGGUAUAUAUGUACACAUAUAUAUAUAUAUAUAUGUGUGUGUGUAUGUGUGUAUAUAUAUGUUUUGUUUAUUUUGGUUUGUUUUGAUGUUUUCUUGUUUGUUUAUUUACACUAAACUACCACCACCACCACCCUUGUCUUGAUCAUUAAUUAGACCCAUUGACUAUCGUACGUCUGGCGCGAAUUCGCGUGUGCCAAACCGGGUCCACUACACUUGCCAAGUACCUCUUUUUUCUAUUCUGUUUCCUUGUUUAAGAGAGAACCCAAUUGAAUAUACACACGUUUGAUAAUUAACUGUGUACAGUAUUCUUUAUUAAAUUCACCUGCAAAAUAUAAAUCAACGUUUGCAAUUAAAAAUCUAGAAAUUCUCUUGAAGCUGUCAUUGUCCCUCAGACUCCAGUCCUCACUGCUUCAUCAUAUUCUCACAUUUUCCUCAGUGACUCUCUCUCUAUAUAUAUACAUAUAUUUCUAUGUGAGUAUUAUAUUUACUUAAGCAUUUCUAUUGUAUAUGUGUCAUUUUACGUACAUUUGCUUAUUCUGACGUGUUGAAUAAUUAAAUUAAAAGAAUCUCACCAAACAAAGCCGAAAUUAUAUGAAAGUAAGGCUGACAUUCGAAUACUUUUGUUUUAUUUUCUUUUAGACAUUCCGUUCCAGUUUUGGUUUUUCUUACAUUGCUUGUGUCAGGGCAAUACCUCGUUUACACAACAUUUUCCUUUAUUUUUGGCUUGUAAAUCUAAGAAUUUAGUUAAAUGCUUGGGAAAUUACGAUGUAAUUUCUGAAAAAUGGAGAAUAUAUAAAAUUUGUGCACUCGAAAUACUGAAACGAAAAGAGGAUGGUUCACACAUGGAUCGGCAUUUUUUGGGAAACAUUUAAAAAAUGUCUUUAUUUUUGCUAGUUCUUCUCCGUUAUUACAAUUUACUACUUAUAUAUAUGAGGGGUACAAGGAAGUCUUGUCAAUAAUUUGAAAAGGCAGAAAAGAAAAGAAAAAUUAGGAAUAAUUGCUAAAGGAUGUGUAUUGUGAUGAAGAAAACGAACGAUUUAAGUAAAAUAAGAAAAAACAUCUCAAAUAUAGAUAUAUAUAGAUAUAUUCGUAUUUUUUAUUAAUUACUUCAGAAAUGCGGCAGACCCCCUCCCCUUAAAAAUUUUUUUUUUUGACACAACACCACUUUUUGACUGCAGGGAAUACGACUCUGCAAAAAAUGGCAUGUUUUAAUUAUCCACCACACCCCCAUUUCCUUCAUUUUUUUUUACUUUCUUCAGAAGUUUUUUUUUUUGAAAAUAUGCAGAAAAAUACGGAAGUUAUGAUUCGGAAAAAAAAUUUCGAAAAACUUUUAUGAAUUGUCUUUUUAAAAUUUUUUUUCUAAAUAUGCAGAAAAAUACAUAUAUAUUAUGAUGCGGAAAAAAAUUUCAAAACAUUUCUGUAGUUACGGUUAAGAUUAGGGUUUUAGGGUUAAGGUUAAGGUCUUCGGGUCAGUCUGUGGUAACAUGACUCCCCAUCAAAGGCUCAGUAGAACUGCACAGAUGUGACAGCACACAUGAGCUUGAGGCUGACCUCAUGCACUUCUCAUGAGGGAAUUCUGGAAAAGGAGCUUCGUGAGACCACUACUGAGAUGCUUCCAAAAAGAAAAAAAAAAGCCACUGGAAAACCGAUUAUAGCAGUGACUCGAUCAAUUCCAGGAUAUCUGAAGAAGGAAUUUUUUAUAUUCCGAAAUAUUAUAUCAGACUAUGGACGAUUAAAUUACAACGGUUAUUAUAAGCCGUUGUUGUGCCAUUCAAUGCAUUAUUUUUACAAAUGCCAAUGCUUCAAGCGAACUGCAAUGUUCCCCUAAAGGUUCAGUCUUUGAAGUUGAAAACCUCUCCCUUGUGAAUGUCGAAACACUGUUGACCGUUUUCUUUGACUCAGGGGAUUGUUCAUGUGAGUAUGCUCCACAUGGUCAGACAGUAAACCAGGAGUUCUCGCUGACGUUUCGGGAUGCUAUUCAUUGGAAAGGGCCACAAUUCGAUGCCUCUGGUGAGUGACACCUAUUCCGGGCAAAACAGGUGUGAUAUCUGUGUUACUUGUUCCUUCUCGAGCCAUGCCUGGCUCAUAAGGGCUAGUUUCCUUAGUGUAUAGAUUCCCCCCACCUAGACAAGCUGGUCCGUCGAAGGUGAGCUGCAAGAUGCAGGAGGAAAAGUGAAGAAAGAUGUAGCGAAGUCAGCAAGAAGUUCGCCAUUACCUUUUGCCGGAGCCACGCAUGGAGCUUAGGUGUUUCACUCAUAAACACACGCAUUGCUUGGUCUGAGAUUUGAACCUGUGAUCCCUCAACCAUGGGUCCGCUAGGCCAUGUGCCUCCACAUCUGUGUUGACAAGACUCGAGGUGAAAACAUUGGUUAUCUAGGCCAUUGACAUCUAUAUUGGUGUGUGUGUGAGAGAGAAAGAGCGUGUGUGUCACAGAUUUAAUGUCCAGGAGUUGCAAUUAUAAUUAUUGAAUCUGCUCGUAAUUUAUUAACUUUUGGGUAAGUUUAUUAGUUUGAAUGCAGGUUUACUUCUACAAUCCAUUAAAACAGAAAUAUAGCAUAAAAUUGCAUUUGAAUAUCUGCCUUUUAAACUUAUUCUAUGCCUUAUAUUAUUUUUUUAUUCUUUCAGAAAAUCACACGAAAUUGGCAUAACAGUAAAUUAUACUUUUAAAGAAUCAUCAAUAUGCAUCAUGUGUUGAAAGACUCUGCAAAGAUAUUCUACAAACGUAUACUCCUGCUUCUAUAAAACAUUGCUGAGUUACAUUAAAUAUUUCCCCUGAGAGAGAAAGCAUUUCUUUACUUCUGUGUCUGAAAUGU